GCGAGUAAAAUGCCCUGCGUGUGAGAAGCAGGCUCAGAUUAUUGCUACUCUGUAUUCAGAUCUUCAUGUGUUUCUUCUAAGCUGAAUAAAGCUGUUUUGGAACUGUCAGGUACCUCAAAGGAAUGUUCUGUAAAGAAGAGUUGUCAAUUGUGCACAGAAGAUAAGAAAUAUAUGAUGAAUAGAUAAUUGAAAAGAGAUCUUCCCGAAAGAGCAGAAGGAAGUUUCUUCAAUGGCUUCCUUCAGGAUUUUAAUCAUCCUUACAGCCUCUUUGAGAAUGAUUGAACUUCCAAAUUCCCUAAAGUUAAAAUUUUAAAUUCUAUUAAACAUUUUUUCGAGUA
RNAcentral lists this small RNA (338 nucleotides) under Pan troglodytes (chimpanzee). RNAcentral describes it as "processed transcript". The record is from RNAcentral. Lineage: Eukaryota; Metazoa; Chordata; Mammalia; Primates; Hominidae.